This 2045-nucleotide long non-coding RNA is filed under the name Nicotiana tabacum (common tobacco). RNAcentral's name for it is "long non-coding RNA (NTAB_LNC006710)". The record is from RNAcentral. Lineage: Eukaryota; Viridiplantae; Streptophyta; Magnoliopsida; Solanales; Solanaceae.
AGAUUUCCAAAUUCUGGCCAAAUUGCUCCAGUGAAAAAGUUGUUACCUAGUUCCAGUGUCGGGGGGAAGCUAAAAAUCUGAUUAUACUGCAAACCUUUAACACUUACAUUUCUUUUCAAGAAAAAGGGAAAAUCUGGUGAUGGUUCAUUCAUCCAAAUAGGGCCAGAGAUUAGGCUUUGCAAUCCAGUAAUUUCUUUUGGAAUCUCCCCUGUUAAUGAAUUGUUUGACAAAUCCAUAUAGAAUAGAAACUUGAAAUCUCCAAUCCAGGGUGGAAGUGUUCCCAUCAAACGGUUCCACGACAAAUCCAACAGUUGCAGCUUUGAGAUAUUUCUUAACCACUGAGGAACCGUUCCGGUGAGCCUGCAAUUGGCAAUAAUGAGAGCUUUCAGCUCUCUGAACUGCAGGUUAGGAUCUGUAGGCAACUCUUCAUCGCGAAAGUUCAAAGUAAGGACCAAAGUAGUUAAGUUCUUGCAGUUCUGUAAAAUCCUAAGAGCAGCAUCAAUGUUAUGGAUACUGUUGUUCGAGACUGAAAAGGACGAAAGGCUAUGAAAAUUCUUGAAACUUUCAGGAAUUUGUCCAACGAAAUUGUUUCUAGCAAGAUUGAUAGUUUGCAACUUGGGACAGUUAGGAAGAUUAUCAGGAACUGACCCUAUGAAACCAUUUGUAGCCAGAUCAAGAGAAACAAGACUAAACAUGGCCGAACAAUUAAGCUCAAUGGUACCCCCUAAAGAAUUAUUCCUCAAACUAAGAGAACUAAUAGUCCCAGAAUUUGCCAAUGAAGGAGGUAUUUUACCAAAAAACCUAUUUGAAUGAGCUGAGAAAUAAGUUACAUUCCUUAAGCUAUGAAACACAUCUGGUAUGUUUCCUGAGAAUCCAUUUGAACAAAUAUCCAAAUGAACCAAGUUAGAAAGGUUACCAAUCUGGCUGCUAAGCUGCCCGUCGAACCGAUUCUCUUGAAGAGACAAUACAGUCAAUCUUGAAAGCUUAAACAGUUCAACAGGUAAACUACCAGAAAGAAGGUUAGAGCCAAGGCAAAGAUGUUCCAAUGAACCACAACUCCCAAUUCCUGUUGGAAGACUGCCAUUAAAAUAAUUGAACCCCAUUUUAAUAACAGAAACUCUUGUUGAGUUUUUACAUAUACCCAAAGGAACUGACCCUUCAAAGGAAUUAUCAGAUAUAUUGAAAGAUUUGAGUGAAGGCAAGUUAAUGCUAUCAGGAAACAAGCCAAAGAAAUCAUUGUUGCUCAAGUCUAAGACCUCCAAAUUAGGCAAAUGCAUUAUUUUAAAGGGGACAGAACCUUUAAGGAAAUUGUGAGACAUAUUAAGGGUUCUAAGCUGAUCCAAAUUACCUAAAGAUUCAGAAAGUUUCCCAUUUAGCCUCCUUUUUCCAAGUUCCAAUUUCACCACCCUCCCCAUAUUAGGAGAGGAUGAGGAAUUACAAGUAAUACCCACCCAAUUACAGCAAUUUGUUGAAUUUCUAAUAUCCCAAAAAUCAAAAACUGUUUCCAAACUGUUCACAAAAUCCUCCAAAGCUUUGAAAUCAUUUGGAUUACAUGUAAAGUUUGGAUUUUGGGACUGAGCUUGUAAAGAAAGUCCUAAAAAGAAAAAGAUUAUACCAAGUUGCAACAUAUUGAAACUACACAUUUUUUGCAUCAAGAUGUCUCAUUUCUCAGCAACAAGAAUCAAGAAUCAAGAUCAAAGAACAUAUAACUGCUAAAUAUUGCAAAAGAAAGAGUAAAUGGACAAGAAAGAAGAAAAAGGGUACUUCACAAAAGUGAUGAAUGAGAAUAAAAAGCAAAGCUUUGAGGCAGAAGGAAGAGGGGAAAAAAAGGAAAGUGGAGGUAGAAAAAUGUGUAAAUAGAAAGAAGAAGAACAGGGAUUUUUUUGUUUUGUUUGUUUUUGCUUUAUAUUCAGACUUCAAACGCUCUUUACUGGUCCAAAUAGGGCUGCUGCUGCUGCUAUUUGCUAUUGUUCCAUUCUAUCCCACUUAAGGGACUUUGCACUUUUUUUUUGAGAGAGAGAGAGAGAGAAAGCUGUUUGCAAUUG